Molecule: ribosomal RNA, 272 nt
Filed under: uncultured Rhodococcus sp.
Lineage: Bacteria; Bacillati; Actinomycetota; Actinomycetes; Mycobacteriales; Nocardiaceae
Description: partial 16S ribosomal RNA
Rfam family: Bacterial small subunit ribosomal RNA
Source: RNAcentral
AUGUUGCCAGCACGUUAUGGUGGGGACUCGUAAGAGACUGCCGGGGUCAACUCGGAGGAAGGUGGGGACGACGUCAAGUCAUCAUGCCCCUUAUGUCCAGGGCUUCACACAUGCUACAAUGGCCAGUACAGAGGGCUGCGAGACCGUGAGGUGGAGCGAAUCCCUUAAAGCUGGUCUCAGUUCGGAUCGGGGUCUGCAACUCGACCCCGUGAAGUCGGAGUCGCUAGUAAUCGCAGAUCAGCAACGCUGCGGUGAAUACGUUCCCGGGCCUU